CCUACGGGUGGCUGCAGUGAGGAAUAUUGGUCAAUGGACGAAAGUCUGAACCAGCCAUGCCGCGUGCAGGAUGACGGCUCUAUGAGUUGUAAACUGCUUUUGUAUUGGGGUAAACACCACUACGUGUAGGGGCUUGAAAGUAUAAUACGAAUAAGGAUCGGCUAACUCCGUGCCAGCAGCCGCGGUAAUACGGAGGAUCCAAGCGUUAUCCGGAUUUAUUGGGUUUAAAGGGUGCGUAGGCGGGUUGAUAAGUUAGUGGUGAAAUACCGGUGCUCAACAGCGGAAUUGCCUUUAAUACUGGUGUACUAGAGAGCAGUAGAGGUAGGCGGAAUGCAUGGUGUAGCGGUGAAAUGCUUAGAGAUCACACAGAACACCGAUUGCGAAGGCAGCUUACCAAACUAUAGCUGACGUUGAGGCACGAAAGCGUGGGUAGCAAACAGGAUUAGAUACCCUUGUAGUC
This 460-nucleotide ribosomal RNA is filed under the name uncultured bacterium. RNAcentral's name for it is "partial 16S ribosomal RNA". It matches the Rfam family "Bacterial small subunit ribosomal RNA", at positions 338 to 795 of the family's 1533-position model. The record is from RNAcentral.